This 465-nucleotide ribosomal RNA is filed under the name Vreelandella stevensii. Its description in RNAcentral is "partial 16S ribosomal RNA". It matches the Rfam family "Bacterial small subunit ribosomal RNA", at positions 338 to 795 of the family's 1533-position model. The record is from RNAcentral. Lineage: Bacteria; Pseudomonadati; Pseudomonadota; Gammaproteobacteria; Oceanospirillales; Halomonadaceae.
CCUACGGGCGGCUGCAGUGGGGAAUAUUGGACAAUGGGCGAAAGCCUGAUCCAGCCAUGCCGCGUGUGUGAAGAAGGCCUUCGGGUUGUAAAGCACUUUCAGUGGGGAAGAAAGCCUUGGGGCUAAUACCCUCGAGGAAGGACAUCACCCACAGAAGAAGCACCGGCUAACUCCGUGCCAGCAGCCGCGGUAAUACGGAGGGUGCGAGCGUUAAUCGGAAUUACUGGGCGUAAAGCGCGCGUAGGCGGUCUGAUAAGCCGGUUGUGAAAGCCCCGGGCUCAACCUGGGAACGGCAUCCGGAACUGUCAGGCUAGAGUGCAGGAGAGGAAGGUAGAAUUCCCGGUGUAGCGGUGAAAUGCGUAGAGAUCGGGAGGAAUACCAGUGGCGAAGGCGGCCUUCUGGACUGACACUGACGCUGAGGUGCGAAAGCGUGGGUAGCAAACAGGAUUAGAUACCCUAGUAGUC